CCUACGGUGCGCAGCAGUGAGGAAUAUUGGUCAAUGGGCGAGAGCCUGAACCAGCCAAGUCGCGUGAGGGAGUACUGCCCUAUGGGUUGUAAACCUCUUUUGUCGGGGAGCAAAAGCCGGACGUGUCCGGCUGUUAGAGUAACCGCAGAAAAAGCAUCGGCUAACUCCGUGCCAGCAGCCGCGGUAAUACGGAGGAUGCGAGCGUUAUCCGGAUUUAUUGGGUUUAAAGGGUGCGCAGGCGGAGGCACAAGUCAGCGGUAAAAGCGCGGGGCUCAACCCGGCUCCGCCGUUGAAACUGUGUCCCUUGAGUGCGCGAAGGGUAGGCGGAAUGCGUGGUGUAGCGGUGAAAUGCAUAGAUAUCACGCAGAACUCCGAUCGCGAAGGCAGCCUACCGGCGCGCAACUGACGCUCAUGCACGAAGGCGUGGGUAUCGAACAGGAUUAGAUACCCGGGUAGUC
This 458-nucleotide ribosomal RNA is filed under the name uncultured bacterium. Its description in RNAcentral is "partial 16S ribosomal RNA". It matches the Rfam family "Bacterial small subunit ribosomal RNA", at positions 338 to 795 of the family's 1533-position model. The record is from RNAcentral.